RNAcentral lists this long non-coding RNA (1207 nucleotides) under Anas platyrhynchos platyrhynchos (common mallard). RNAcentral's name for it is "lncRNA (ENSAPLG00000027083.1)". The record is from RNAcentral. Lineage: Eukaryota; Metazoa; Chordata; Aves; Anseriformes; Anatidae.
AUCACCCUACUACCAAUGUCACCCACUAAACCACGUCCCCAAGCACCAGCUUGGUUGGAAACCUCAGCCACAAACAGUGGAAAUUCCCCCCAAAAUGUUCCAUCCAGAGGGGCUGUCCCCCUGAGAGCAGGCAGGGCUGAUGCCUUAUAGGAAAUACGGUGCCCCUAGGAGUCUGUGAGUCACCUCGGUGGUGAACACACGCUCAUAAAUCUGGCUAACGAGUGCAUCAGGACGUAUACCCAGAUCCACCUUUCUUUUGAAUCUUUCCCUUUACCUUUUCACCCCUGAAGACAUCUAAGCUGCUAACACUCUGAGGAGGAUGACACAGCAAAAAAAAAAAUAAAAAAAAAUCUUUUAGCAAGAAACAGAGAAAUGAGAUUUGCAUAUGUUUUUCUGGGAAAAAUAUCAAGUUUUUUUUGUUAGAAACUGUGUUGGAAACCAGCUUGUAAAACGUGGAGCCUGACUCAAACACUGAUUUGUCAUGGGACCAUCACCUGUGCCCACUGUUAACGGGGACUCCUCAGCUCUCUGCCCAGGAGGAAAGAUCGCUGUUAAUAUCUUAGUGACAGGUUGUAUUUGGGGAAGAGCAAAUCCUGGGCUGAGAUGUGGCUGGAGAAGCUUUCCCUGCAUUUAGUGGCCAGUGAGGAAAUUUUGUGGAACGCAGCAUUGCUGUGGAGCCGUUCCCAAGGGGUUGUGAUCCCGAUGAUCAAUGACCUUCAGAAAGCUCGGGGGUUCAGCUCAGUGAGGGGGAAUACUGCCGGUGUCUAUCCCAGCUCUGCAAACCCAAUUUUCCGCUUGCGUGCCUGAUUAUAAAUCAGCGGUAAAUGUGCUUAUGCUGACACGCCAGCAUUGCCCUGGAUGCCGUUCCAUAGGCACACGCUCCUUCGGCCCCAGGUGACUCAAUCUGAUGAAGAAACCCCGGGGUUUUCUUCGCUUUGGCAGGUGUUGGUGGGCAAUCCUCUUCGAUUAACGCCGCGCUGCUUUUUGGCCGGAGAUGCUCGGACCGACUGCCGAGGCAAAGAGAGAUGCCAGCAGAGCCUGCGACCCAGCCGAGACCCAGCCAGUGGGAAUCCUGUCUGCAGAGCUCCUCGAGUCUGUGAAACUGGCAGGACAGAGCAUCCCAGAUCCUAUCCUUCUGAGGAGGCUGAGGCCUCAUCCCACGAGCCAGAGCCACCAGCAUGCAGCGCAAGCCACAAGAGGCGCAAGG